RNAcentral lists this ribosomal RNA (492 nucleotides) under uncultured bacterium. Its description in RNAcentral is "partial 16S ribosomal RNA". It matches the Rfam family "Bacterial small subunit ribosomal RNA", at positions 29 to 507 of the family's 1533-position model. The record is from RNAcentral.
AGUGAACGCUGGCGGUAGGCCUAACACGUGCCAGUCGAACGGCAGCACAGUAAGAGCUUGCUCUUACGGGUGGCGAGUGGCGGACGGGUGAGGAAUACAUCGGAAUCUACUUUUUCGUGGGGGAUAACGUAGGGAAACUUACGCUAAUACCGCAUACGACCUACGGGUGAAAGCAGGGGAUCUUCGGACCUUGCGCGAUUGAAUGAGCCGAUGUCGGAUUAGCUAGUUGGCGGGGCAAAGGCCCACCAAGGCGACGAUCCGUAGCUGGUCUGAGAGGAUGAUCAGCCACACUGGAACUGAGACACGGUCCAGACUCCUACGGGAGGCAGCAGUGGGGAAUAUUGGACAAUGGGCGCAAGCCUGAUCCAGCCAUACCGUGUGGGUGAAGAAGGCCUUCGGGUUGUAAAGCCCUUUUGUUGGGAAAGAAAAGCAGCAGGUUAAUACCCCGCUGUUCUGACGGUACCCAAAGAAUAAGCACCGGCUAACUUCGUG